CUGGCGGCGUGCCUAAUACAUGCAAGUAGAACGCUGAAGAGAGGAGCUUGCUCUUCUUGGAUGAGUUGCGAACGGGUGAGUAACGCGUAGGUAACCUGCCUUGUAGCGGGGGAUAACUAUUGGAAACGAUAGCUAAUACCGCAUAACAAUGGAUGACACAUGUCAUUUAUUUGAAAGGGGCAAUUGCUCCACUACAAGAUGGACCUGCGUUGUAUUAGCUAGUAGGUGAGGUAAUGGCUCACCUAGGCGACGAUACAUAGCCGACCUGAGAGGGUGAUCGGCCACACUGGGACUGAGACACGGCCCAGACUCCUACGGGAGGCAGCAGUAGGGAAUCUUCGGCAAUGGGGGCAACCCUGACCGAGCAACGCCGCGUGAGUGAAGAAGGUUUUCGGAUCGUAAAGCUCUGUUGUAAGUCAAGAACGGGUGUGAGAGUGGAAAGUUCACACUGUGACGGUAGCUUACCAGAAAGGGACGGCUAACUACGUGCCAGCAGCCGCGGUAAUACGUAGGUCCCGAGCGUUGUCCGGAUUUAUUGGGCGUAAAGCGAGCGCAGGCGGUUUGAUAAGUCUGAAGUUAAAGGCUGUGGCUCAACCAUAGUUCGCUUUGGAAACUGUCAAACUUGAGUGCAGAAGGGGAGAGUGGAAUUCCAUGUGUAGCGGUGAAAUGCGUAGAUAUAUGGAGGAACACCGGUGGCGAAAGCGGCUCUCUGGUCUGUAACUGACGCUGAGGCUCGAAAGCGUGGGGAGCGAACAGGAUUAGAUACCCUGGUAGUCCACGCCGUAAACGAUGAGUGCUAGGUGUUGGAUCCUUUCCGGGAUUCAGUGCCGCAGCUAACGCAUUAAGCACUCCGCCUGGGGAGUACGACCGCAAGGUUGAAACUCAAAGGAAUUGACGGGGGCCCGCACAAGCGGUGGAGCAUGUGGUUUAAUUCGAAGCAACGCGAAGAACCUUACCAGGUCUUGACAUCCCGAUGCUAUUUCUAGAGAUAGAAAGUUACUUCGGUACAUCGGUGACAGGUGGUGCAUGGUUGUCGUCAGCUCGUGUCGUGAGAUGUUGGGUUAAGUCCCGCAACGAGCGCAACCCCUAUUGUUAGUUGCCAUCAUUCAGUUGGGCACUCUAGCGAGACUGCCGGUAAUAAACCGGAGGAAGGUGGGGAUGACGUCAAAUCAUCAUGCCCCUUAUGACCUGGGCUACACACGUGCUACAAUGGUUGGUACAACGAGUUGCGAGUCGGUGACGGCGAGCUAAUCUCUUAAAGCCAAUCUCAGUUCGGAUUGUAGGCUGCAACUCGCCUACAUGAAGUCGGAAUCGCUAGUAAUCGCGGAUCAGCACGCCGCGGUGAAUACGUUCCCGGGCCUUGUACACACCGCCCGUCACACCACGAGAGUUUGUAACACCCGAAGUCGGUGAGGUAACCUUUUGGAGCCAGCCGCCUAAGGUGGGACAGAUGAUUGGGG
RNAcentral lists this ribosomal RNA (1460 nucleotides) under Streptococcus thermophilus. RNAcentral describes it as "16S ribosomal RNA". It matches the Rfam family "Bacterial small subunit ribosomal RNA". The record is from RNAcentral. Lineage: Bacteria; Bacillati; Bacillota; Bacilli; Lactobacillales; Streptococcaceae.